Molecule: ribosomal RNA, 469 nt
Filed under: uncultured bacterium
Lineage: Bacteria
Description: partial 16S ribosomal RNA
Rfam family: Bacterial small subunit ribosomal RNA
Source: RNAcentral
GACGAACGCUGGCGGCGUGCUUAACACACGCAAGUCGAACGGAAAGGCCCUGCUUGCAGGGUGCUCGAGUGGCGAACGGGUGAGUAACACGUGGGUGAUCUGCCCCUUACUUUGGGAUAAGCCUGGGAAACUGGGUCUAAUACUGGAUAGGACCAUGCUGUAGGUGGUGUGGUGGAAAGAUUAGUUUCGGUAAGGGAUGAGCUCGCGGCCUAUCAGCUUGUUGGUGGGGUAAUGGCCUACCAAGGCGUCGACGGGUAGCCGGCCUGAGAGGGUGGACGGCCACAUUGGGACUGAGAUACGGCCCAGACUCCUACGGGAGGCAGCAGUGGGGAAUAUUGCACAAUGGGCGCAAGCCUGAUGCAGCGACGCCGCGUGGGGGAUGACGGCCUUCGGGUUGUAAACUCCUUUCAGCCAUGACGAAGCCCUUGUGGUGACGGUAGUGGUAGAAGAAGCACCGGCUAACUACGUG